Molecule: non-coding RNA, 820 nt
Organism: Saimiri boliviensis boliviensis (Bolivian squirrel monkey)
Lineage: Eukaryota; Metazoa; Chordata; Mammalia; Primates; Cebidae
Source: RefSeq, a predicted model, not a curated record
AUGACAGCUAGGGAGGGAGCAGAGACAAGACGGGCAAGCCUGCAACAGAGCAAGACCCUGUCUCAAAAACCAAAAACACGACGUGUGAGUUGGACUCCAGUGUGGAAUCCUGUGUCUGCUUGGUGCACCCCUGUGCUGCUGAAAGUACAAGGGGAGAGGGGAAAGCCACAGGUGGAGCUGGCCAUGAGGACUGUCACAGGGAACUCUUUGAAUAAGAGGACACCAGAUCAUGCCUGCAGUUCCAGCCGAGGAGCAGUUAGCACCAGCCUCAGCGUGGAGCAGGGGCUGGACUAUUAGGCAAGGACUUCAGCUCCGGCAGUGAGAACUGAGAUCAGACACAAGAGAAGCUCCCUGAUGAGGAGGGGUGAGUAUAAAACAAAGGGCAGAAGUCAUCGGGGAAUCUCCUUCCCUUGAGGCCUCAGGAAGAUGCCAGUCCCCCACAUUGGUCUGUCCUGAGGGUCUCACACCCCUGUCCUCCUGGGAAAACCUAGAUCCUCCAAACUCUGCCCGGGUUCUUCCUGGGGAGUCUUGACCCCUGCCUUGUGGUUGGUGUGGGAUGGGGGACCUGGAAGCAGGACUGCCUUCCUCUGGCCGAAGCCUGGCAAGCAAGCAUGGGAAUGUACUGUCUUCCGGAGAGGGAACAGAGGAGAAGUGAUGGAGCCCCUAAUUCAAGACCCUGCAGAGGUGGUGCGAGAUCUCAUAAUACCAGUCUCUAAACCAGUGCCUUUCAAGCUCUCCGUGGUGAAGAAUCCCUGUUUAAAAUAUAUAAUCAGUCAUAGAUCAGUGCUUUCGUAAAAUGCAAUAAAAAUUUCCAAAAAAA